This is a non-coding RNA of Peromyscus maniculatus bairdii (prairie deer mouse), 649 nucleotides long. NCBI's taxonomy places the organism in Eukaryota, Metazoa, Chordata, Mammalia, Rodentia, Cricetidae. The record is from RefSeq and is a predicted model, not a curated record.
UUUUUUAUGACUAUGAGACAUGUCUGUUCCUGGCAGUACCAAUCUACUUCAGAGAAGAUGAUGGGCAUUGAAGAAAUUCCACAUGGAGUUUACUUUCUUUGUGGCAAAAGUCAGCAACUGGACAAGAAAGUGCCCUUACCUCAACUGCUGACAGUAUGCUGUCCAAAUGGACACAAAAGAAAGGACUGUCGAACUUUGCCAAGACAAGAACAGCAGCUGGAAGGCCAGUGAUAUGAACAAUAGAAUUUACCAAUGGUAAGAAAAAACAGAAGUUUUAAAAAUACACCCCGAGAGAGGUGAUGAGCAAGUUCCCAAGACGGCACCACAACACUGGAAGGAGCAGGUUUUCUUACGACAGGAGGAUUUAAAGUAAAGGAAGACAGAACGGUAUAUUUAGACAAACUAAAGAAGUUGUGGCCAUGAUCACAUCAGGAAAAAAGAAUCGAAGGCAAAGCAUUGAAAGAUGGAGGAAUGGACAUUAUAGAAAAGGUUAAAUAUCCCGGGCACCUAAGACACAGUUGGAAAGGAUAGCUUGUUUACAUAGCAGACAUGAAGUCUUUACAAGAUUAUUUCAGCAUUUGUCUGUCUGUGUGUGUCUGUGUAUCUGCAUAUACACACAGAUGCCCAUAGAGGGCAGAAGAGGACGUCA